This 275-nucleotide ribosomal RNA is filed under the name uncultured bacterium. Its description in RNAcentral is "partial 16S ribosomal RNA". It matches the Rfam family "Bacterial small subunit ribosomal RNA", at positions 523 to 796 of the family's 1533-position model. The record is from RNAcentral.
AUACGGAGGGUGCAAGCGUUAUUCGGAAUCACUGGGCGUAAAGGACGCGUAGGCGGGUUGGCAAGUCAGAUGUGAAAUCCUACAGCUUAACUGUAGAACUGCAUUUGAAACUGCUAACCUAGAGUAUGGGAGGGGGAGAUGGAAUUAGUGGUGUAGGGGUAAAAUCCGUAGAUAUCACUAGGAAUACCGAAAGCGAAGGCGAUCUCCUGGAACAUAACUGACGCUAAGGCGUGAAAGCGUGGGGAGCAAACAGGAUUAGAUACCCCGAGUAGUCC